Molecule: ribosomal RNA, 484 nt
Filed under: uncultured bacterium
Lineage: Bacteria
Description: partial 16S ribosomal RNA
Rfam family: Bacterial small subunit ribosomal RNA
Source: RNAcentral
AUUGAACGCUGGCGGCAGGCCUAACACAUGCAAGUCGAGCGGAUGAAGGGAGCUUGCUCCUGGAUUCAGCGGCGGACGGGUGAGUAAUGCCUAGGAAUCUGCCUGGUAGUGGGGGAUAACGUCCGGAAACGGGCGCUAAUACCGCAUACGUCCUGAGGGAGAAAGUGGGGGAUCUUCGGACCUCACGCUAUCAGAUGAGCCUAGGUCGGAUUAGCUAGUUGGUGGGGUAAAGGCCUACCAAGGCGACGAUCCGUAACUGGUCUGAGAGGAUGAUCAGUCACACUGGAACUGAGACACGGUCCAGACUCCUACGGGAGGCAGCAGUGGGGAAUAUUGGACAAUGGGCGAAAGCCUGAUCCAGCCAUGCCGCGUGUGUGAAGAAGGUCUUCGGAUUGUAAAGCACUUUAAGUUGGGAGGAAGGGCAGUAAAUGAAUACCUUGCUGUUUUGACGUUACCAACAGAAUAAGCAACGGCUAACUUCGUG